RNAcentral lists this ribosomal RNA (484 nucleotides) under uncultured bacterium. Its description in RNAcentral is "partial 16S ribosomal RNA". It matches the Rfam family "Bacterial small subunit ribosomal RNA", at positions 30 to 507 of the family's 1533-position model. The record is from RNAcentral.
AUUGAACGCUGGCGGCAGGCCUAACACAUGCAAGUCGAGCGGAUGAAGGGAGCUUGCUCCUGGAUUCAGCGGCGGACGGGUGAGUAAUGCCUAGGAAUCUGCCUGGUAGUGGGGGAUAACGUCCGGAAACGGGCGCUAAUACCGCAUACGUCCUGAGGGAGAAAGUGGGGGAUCUUCGGACCUCACGCUCUCAGAUGAGCCUAGGUCGGAUUAGCUAGUUGGUGGGGUAAAGGCCUACCAAGGCGACGAUCCGUAACUGGUCUGAGAGGAUGAUCAGUCACACUGGAACUGAGACACGGUCCAGACUCCUACGGGAGGCAGCAGUGGGGAAUAUUGGACAAUGGGCGAGAGCCUGAUCCAGCCAUGCCGCGUGUGUGAAGAAGGUCUUCGGAUUGUAAAGCACUUUAAGUUGGGAGGAAGGGCAGUAAGUUAAUACCUUGCUGUUUUGACGUUACCAACAGAAUAAGCACCGGCUAACUUCGUG